AUUGAACGCUGGCGGCAUGCUUUACACAUGCAAGUCGAACGGCAGCGCGGGCUUCGGCCUGGCGGCGAGUGGCGAACGGGUGAGUAAUGCAUCGGAACGUGCCCAGUAGUGGGGGAUAGCGCGGCGAAAGCCGGGUUAAUACCGCAUACGACCUGAGGGUGAAAGCGGGGGACCGAAAGGCCUCGCGCUAUUGGAGCGGCCGAUGUCGGAUUAGCUAGUUGGUGGGGUAAAGGCUUACCAAGGCGACGAUCCGUAGCUGGUCUGAGAGGACGACCAGCCACACUGGGACUGAGACACGGCCCAGACUCCUACGGGAGGCAGCAGUGGGGAAUUUUGGACAAUGGGGGAAAGCCUGAUCCAGCCAUGCCGCGUGCGUGAAGAAGGUCUUCGGGUUGUAAACCGCUUUUGUUCGGGAAGAAAUGCUCUGGGCUAAUACCUCGGGGGGAUGACGGUACCGGAAGAAUAAGCACCGGCUAACUACGUG
This 484-nucleotide ribosomal RNA is filed under the name uncultured bacterium. RNAcentral describes it as "partial 16S ribosomal RNA". It matches the Rfam family "Bacterial small subunit ribosomal RNA", at positions 28 to 507 of the family's 1533-position model. The record is from RNAcentral.